AUGUGGGGAGCAUCAAUCCAACAGGAAUGCGGGACUACCAGGAAACUCCAGAACCUCGCAGAGAUUUCGCCUCGGUUUUCAAAGCUGUACCCACGCCACGUUCCAAAACAGCUUCUCUCCGAGGUGACACGCGGAUGUAGCAAAUGGAGAAGAUCAAGGUCAAGAACUUCAAAUGUGCAAGAGGAUUCUCUGGGUGCUGCUGUCCCACAUCAUUACAAGCUGGAAUACCUAUGGAUGAAUGUCUGCAGCAGCAGAGGGUUCUUCGGUAGUCAAAAUGGGUUGAGGCACAGAUCUAGAUGGAUGGCCAGCAAGCAGCUGGGAGGAGAGUACAGGAUGUCGUUCCUCAAGAAAAAUUAAGAAAUGAAGCAACACCAUCAGUGCUAAGAAAGACAAACCCUAAAAAGCAUGAACCAGGUUCAGUUAAAGCAGCAAUUAAAUGAUUUAGAACAAUUCUGUGCUCAUUUACAAUUUUUAAAGGUGAAAGGUGUGAUUUUGGUAAUGCCUUAAAAUUAAAAGGCCAGCCACUCCAUCUUUAGAAUGAUGUUUUCUCUCCUGGAAGACGUAUCUCAUUGUCAGUCCAUUAGCAGCCAGCCAGAACCCAUCCUUAGAAAAAUAAUUAGCUAUUGAUAUAUGGUAAUACUGAAAAGUUAUUCUUAUUUUUGUUCAUUGCUACUGAAAGAUGUCCUCUCCAGCCUACACUUUCAAUCAUUAUAAAUGCUACUGUGAAAGACUAAAAACACUGUUCUGAGAUAGAUUAGGAUCCACUUCACAAAUAAAUAUAUUUUACCACUAAGAGAAGAAGCA
This 804-nucleotide long non-coding RNA is filed under the name Cyanistes caeruleus (blue tit). RNAcentral's name for it is "lncRNA (ENSCCEG00000010908.1)". The record is from RNAcentral. Lineage: Eukaryota; Metazoa; Chordata; Aves; Passeriformes; Paridae.